AUGCACCCCACAGCCCGGUACCUCCCCCGCCAGAGGAGGGAAAAAGAUCAACCAGCGCUCCCCACUCCCCGCCUUUACUGAUGGAGUGGAAGUCCGGACCUAGGGACAGCGCCAUGAUGGAAGCUCGGUCCACCCCUCCUCGCAGCUAAAAAUAACCUAAUGGGGCGACGCUGGCGGCUGCGGCCCGGGAAGGGUUAAUGCUCCCGACGCUGGGCCGCGAGAGGGUGGGGACGGUGGUGGAGGCAGAACAGCCGGGCUGCGUCCCUGGGUGUGGCCGGAAACAAAGGAACCCCCGUCUUUACGCUUUGUCUCGGGGUGGGGAGCUGAGGGCGCAGCGGUCAGGAGCUGGCCCUCCGCCCCAGUUCCUGCCUGGCAUCAGCGUGGAGCCUGACUGUUCCUGAGGGAUGCGGACCACUGGAGCCCAUAGUGACCGACUCCUCAUCAAAGGUGGACGGAUCAUCAACGAUGACCAAUCCCUUUAUGCUGACGUCUACCUGGAGGAUGGACUUAUCAAACAAAUAGGAGAGAACUUAAUCGUUCCUGGUGGAGUGAAGACCAUUGAAGCCAACGGGCGGAUGGUUAUUCCCGGAGGUAUUGAUGUCAACACGUACCUGCAGAAGCCCUCCCAGGGGAUGACUGCGGCUGAUGACUUCUUCCAAGGGACCAGGGCGGCACUGGUGGGCGGGACCACGAUGAUCAUUGACCAUGUUGUUCCUGAACCUGGGUCCAGCCUACUGACCUCUUUCGAGAAGUGGCACGAAGCAGCUGACACCAAAUCCUGCUGUGAUUACUCCCUCCACGUGGACAUCACAAGCUGGUACGAUGGCGUUCGGGAGGAGCUGGAGGUGCUGGUGCAGGACAAAGGCGUCAAUUCCUUCCAAGUCUACAUGGCCUAUAAGGAUGUCUACCAAAUGUCCGACAGCCAGCUCUAUGAAGCCUUUACCUUCCUUAAGGGCCUGGGAGCUGUGAUCUUGGUCCAUGCAGAAAAUGGAGAUUUGAUAGCUCAGGAACAAAAGCGGAUCCUGGAGAUGGGCAUCACGGGUCCCGAGGGCCAUGCCCUGAGCAGACCUGAAGAGCUGGAGGCCGAGGCGGUGUUCCGGGCCAUCACCAUUGCGGGCCGGAUCAACUGCCCUGUGUACAUCACCAAGGUCAUGAGCAAGAGUGCAGCCGACAUCAUCGCUCUGGCCAGGAAGAAAGGGCCCCUAGUUUUUGGAGAGCCCAUUGCCGCCAGCCUGGGGACCGAUGGCACCCAUUACUGGAGCAAGAACUGGGCCAAGGCUGCGGCGUUCGUGACUUCCCCUCCCCUGAGCCCGGACCCUACCACGCCCGACUACUUGACCUCCCUACUGGCCUGUGGGGACUUGCAGGUCACAGGCAGCGGCCACUGUCCCUACAGCACUGCCCAGAAGGCGGUGGGCAAGGACAACUUCACCCUGAUCCCCGAGGGUGUCAACGGGAUAGAGGAGCGGAUGACCGUCGUCUGGGACAAGGCGGUGGCUACUGGCAAAAUGGAUGAGAACCAGUUUGUCGCUGUCACCAGCACCAAUGCAGCCAAGAUCUUUAACCUGUACCCAAGGAAAGGGCGGAUUGCCGUGGGCUCGGACGCCGACGUGGUCAUCUGGGACCCCGACAAGGUGAAGACCGUAACAGCCAAAAGUCACAAGUCGGCAGUGGAGUACAACAUCUUCGAGGGUAUGGAGUGCCACGGCUCCCCACUAGUGGUCAUCAGCCAGGGCAAGAUCGUCUUUGAAGACGGAAACAUCAAUGUCAACAAGGGCAUGGGCCGCUUCAUUCCGCGGAAGGCGUUCCCGGAGCACCUGUACCAGCGCGUCAAAAUCAGGAAUAAGGUUUUUGGAUUGCAAGGGGUUUCCAGGGGCAUGUAUGACGGUCCUGUGUACGAGGUACCAGCUACACCCAAAUAUGCAACUCCCGCUCCUUCAGCCAAAUCUUCGCCUUCUAAACACCAGCCCCCACCCAUCAGAAACCUCCACCAGUCCAACUUCAGCUUAUCAGGUGCCCAGAUAGAUGACAACAAUCCCAGGCGCACCGGCCACCGCAUCGUGGCGCCCCCUGGUGGCCGCUCCAACAUCACCAGCCUCGGUUGAACGCGGAUGCGCGGAGGAGCUAGCCUGAAGGAUUCUGGGAAUCAUGUCCAUCCCUUUUCCUGUCAGUGUUUUUGAAACCCACAGUUUUAGUUGGUGCUGAUGGAGGGAGGGGGAAGUCGAAGGAUGCUCUUUCCCUUUUCUGUUUAGGAAGAAGUGGUACUAGUGUGGUGUGUUUGCUUGGAAAUUCCUUGCCCCACAGUUGUGUUCAUGCUGAAUCCACCUCGGAGCAUGGUGUUUUCAUUCCCCCUUCCUAGUGAACCACAGGUUUUAGCAUUGUCUUGUUCUGUCCCUUCCACUUCUAACUCCACUGGCUCCAUGAUUCUCUGAGUGGUGGUUCCUUUGCACCCUGUAGAUGUUCUAGGAUAGUUGAUGCAUGUUACUAAAUUACGUAUGCAAGUCUGUGAGUGCGUCUGAGGGGACAUCGCCAAGGACUGACUGAGACACGAUGCCGAGACCUCAAGCCCUGAGGGGCAGUCCCAAAACCCUUACAGUGAAGAUGUUUACUCAUUGCCCCCACCUCUGGUCCACACUAGAAAGAAGCUCGCCCCACCUCCACCUGUGAGAUCCGUGAAUUCUCGGAAUGGCAGGGGAAGCCUUGCACUAGGUUGCAGAGAAGCAUCCUCCACAUCCUGUGUCAGAAACCCUGGUCUCCGUGGCACUUGUAACUCACCGUGCUGUCUUCUGGUCUGUGUGUGUUCUUCAAGCCAGCUCUAGGCUUCAGGCCGAGCCAGGUUCACACUCAGAAAGAGGUCUCCCCAUCCCCAUUCGGGGCUGACGAUGGGGGGGUGAUGGCUGCCCCUGCGUGGCCUGAGUCCUGGUCCCUCUGAGGCAGUUGACGGGGCAGUCAGAUUUUUAAAGUUUUGUACAAAGUUUUCCUUUGUAAUCACUCCCAUUUUUACUUAACAACCAACUUGUUGUGGCUCUUAUUUCUGAAUUCAAAGCUUGUGAAAAAAUAAAGAAAAUGAACUGCCCACUG
This 3081-nucleotide small RNA is filed under the name Pan troglodytes (chimpanzee). RNAcentral's name for it is "processed transcript". The record is from RNAcentral. Lineage: Eukaryota; Metazoa; Chordata; Mammalia; Primates; Hominidae.